RNAcentral lists this ribosomal RNA (2011 nucleotides) under Escherichia coli UMEA 4207-1. RNAcentral's name for it is "bacterial LSU rRNA". It matches the Rfam family "Bacterial large subunit ribosomal RNA", at positions 1 to 2039 of the family's 2925-position model. The record is from RNAcentral. Lineage: Bacteria; Pseudomonadati; Pseudomonadota; Gammaproteobacteria; Enterobacterales; Enterobacteriaceae.
UUAAGCGACUAAGCGUACACGGUGGAUGCCCUGGCAGUCAGAGGCGAUGAAGGACGUGCUAAUCUGCGAUAAGCGUCGGUGAGGUGAUAUGAACCGUUAUAACCGGCGAUUUCCGAAUGGGGAAACCCAGUGUGUUUCGACACACUAUCAUUAACUGAAUCCAUAGGUUAAUGAGGCGAACCGGGGGAACUGAAACAUCUAAGUACCCCGAGGAAAAGAAAUCAACCGAGAUUCCCCCAGUAGCGGCGAGCGAACGGGGAGGAGCCCAGAGCCUGAAUCAGUGUGUGUGUUAGUGGAAGCGUCUGGAAAGGCGUGCGAUACAGGGUGACAGCCCCGUACACAAAAAUGCACAUAUUGUGAGCUCGAUGAGUAGGGCGGGACACGUGGUAUCCUGUCUGAAUAUGGGGGGACCAUCCUCCAAGGCUAAAUACUCCUGACUGACCGAUAGUGAACCAGUACCGUGAGGGAAAGGCGAAAAGAACCCCGGCGAGGGGAGUGAAAAAGAACCUGAAACCGUGUACGUACAAGCAGUGGGAGCCUCUUAAUGGGGUGACUGCGUACCUUUUGUAUAAUGGGUCAGCGACUUAUAUUCUGUAGCAAGGUUAACCGAAUAGGGGAGCCGAAGGGAAACCGAGUCUUAACUGGGCGUUAAGUUGCAGGGUAUAGACCCGAAACCCGGUGAUCUAGCCAUGGGCAGGUUGAAGGUUGGGUAACACUAACUGGAGGACCGAACCGACUAAUGUUGAAAAAUUAGCGGAUGACUUGUGGCUGGGGGUGAAAGGCCAAUCAAACCGGGAGAUAGCUGGUUCUCCCCGAAAGCUAUUUAGGUAGCGCCUCGUGAAUUCAUCUCCGGGGGUAGAGCACUGUUUCGGCAAGGGGGUCAUCCCGACUUACCAACCCGAUGCAAACUGCGAAUACCGGAGAAUGUUAUCACGGGAGACACACGGCGGGUGCUAACGUCCGUCGUGAAGAGGGAAACAACCCAGACCGCCAGCUAAGGUCCCAAAGUCAUGGUUAAGUGGGAAACGAUGUGGGAAGGCCCAGACAGCCAGGAUGUUGGCUUAGAAGCAGCCAUCAUUUAAAGAAAGCGUAAUAGCUCACUGGUCGAGUCGGCCUGCGCGGAAGAUGUAACGGGGCUAAACCAUGCACCGAAGCUGCGGCAGCGACACUAUGUGUUGUUGGGUAGGGGAGCGUUCUGUAAGCCUGUGAAGGUGGCCUGUGAGGGUUGCUGGAGGUAUCAGAAGUGCGAAUGCUGACAUAAGUAACGAUAAAGCGGGUGAAAAGCCCGCUCGCCGGAAGACCAAGGGUUACUGUCCAACGUUAAUCGGGGCAGGGUGAGUCGACCCCUAAGGCGAGGCCGAAAGGCGUAGUCGAUGGGAAACAGGUUAAUAUUCCUGUACUUGGUGUUACUGCGAAGGGGGGACGGAGAAGGCUAUGUUGGCCGGGCGACGGUUGUCCCGGUUUAAGCGUGUAGGCUGGUUUUCUAGGCAAAUCCGGAAAACCAAGGCUGAGGCGUGAUGACGAGGCACUACGGUGCUGAAGCGACAAAUGCCCUGCUUCCAGGAAAAGCCUCUAAGCAUCAGGUAACAUCAAAUCGUACCCCAAACCGACACAGGUGGUCAGGUAGAGAAUACCAAGGCGCUUGAGAGAACUCGGGUGAAGGAACUAGGCAAAAUGGUGCCGUAACUUCGGGAGAAGGCACGCUGAUAUGUAGGUGAAGCGACUUGCUCGUGGAGCUGAAAUCAGUCGAAGAUACCAGCUGGCUGCAACUGUUUAUUAAAAACACAGCACUGUGCAAACACGAAAGUGGACGUAUACGGUGUGACGCCUGCCCGGUGCCGGAAGGUUAAUUGAUGGGGUUAGCGGCAACGCGAAGCUCUUGAUCGAAGCCCCGGUAAACGGCGGCCGUAACUAUAACGGUCCUAAGGUAGCGAAAUUCCUUGUCGGGUAAGUUCCGACCUGCACGAAUGGCGUAAUGAUGGCCAGGCUGUCUCCACCCGAGACUCAGUGA